GCCCAUCCACGCUCGGCUGCCUUCCCAUGUCCCCCCUCGUGGUGGUCAUGAGCGCUGGCCCGAUGCGGACAUUGGCCCUCCGAACCGCGAGGCGCGGUGGGUCUAAGUGUGCGGCCGUCGUAUGUGGCCGGGAGCGGCGAGUGGUGGGCUACUGCGCACGCCACCCCGAGCCCCAUGCCGACAGAGGGCUUUGUUUGACCCCCUAACGAGGAGCAUGCCGUCGCGGCUUCACGCCGUGCGGCAUCUUCGGACC
RNAcentral lists this unclassified non-coding RNA (253 nucleotides) under Eriophorum vaginatum. Lineage: Eukaryota; Viridiplantae; Streptophyta; Magnoliopsida; Poales; Cyperaceae. The record is from RNAcentral.